RNAcentral lists this long non-coding RNA (2724 nucleotides) under Equus caballus (horse). Its description in RNAcentral is "lncRNA (ENSECAG00000038848.3)". Lineage: Eukaryota; Metazoa; Chordata; Mammalia; Perissodactyla; Equidae. The record is from RNAcentral.
AAGAUUUAGAGGACAGUGAGUGGCCUUCACUACACUCCCUUGGGAAGGAAACGAGGCCACUGCCUUCACUUCCUCUGUCCCCACUCAGAAAUAAAAUGGUUAUAGGAAAAGCUGACCUCUCACAUGAAUGCACAGGUAAUUUGCGUUUUUAUUAGUGUCAAAAUCUGACCAAUAUGCUGUACGAUACUUAAAAAUUUUCCUGUAUUUAUAAUUGAUGCAGCUUAGAAAAGUGAAAUGUCCAAAUGUGAAGUUGGAGCACUUUAGUUGGAACACUAGGGGGGAACCAGACUUGGAGUACAUAAUUUAGAUAUUCAAUAACAGACAAUCCAGGUUAGAAAAGAAACUUUCAAUUAUGUCUCAACUGAAUGAAUGAAUGAAUAGAAACUUUGGUAGAACAACCCCUUACAAUGGGAAAACAAAAAUUAGCCAUAAGAGGAAAAAAUGUUUAACAAACUUAGAGAUAUCAUUAUAAAGGAACAAAAGAGCUAAGAUUUGUAAGUAUAUACUAUGUUUCAGGCAUUUCUUAAAUAUUACCCUUGCUUUAGAGAUAAACUGAAGCCCAGAGAUGUUUGAAAACUUGCCCAGCUGGUAAAUGACAGACGCCAGUUCAAACCCAGAUCUUCUAAGCCUCACGGCCUGCCAAAAAAUCUCAUUUUUAGCUAAUGUAGAACUGGGAAUGCUUUUUCCUCACAGACUUAAUAAAGGGGAGGAGAGCUAGAUUCCUAAGCCUAUUCACAAAAGUCUAUUUGGUCUUUAAUGGAAAUGAAAUAAUAAUGCCAUUAAAUGGAACAAUUCCAACAAAGACUGUGAGAGAAAAGAGGAAAAUGCAGUGGUUGACGUCUUCAAGUGUUGGCAUUGUGGUGAUUUUUCCCUUUUAAAAGUCCCUUCCCUUUUUAUUGUUUUCUGUGAAGUGAAAAUAAAAACCAGGACAGGAGACCACCUUACACAUCACUCUAACCAUCUUUCUCUGGCAGGACCCCAGGGCCCUUUGCCAUGGGCACAACAACUGGAGCCCUGGCAUGAAUCCUACAAGGACAGGAACUUCCCCUCCCACCACUGGCCCCAACCUGGAUCCCUGCAGGUGAUGAUUUUUUCAGUCUAGGAAUUCAAGAGAAUACAUUUUAUUAGUUUGAUCAGUGGCAAGACACCAUGACAACCAGACCAAGGCUCCUCCGGCUGUUGUGGCUUCAGAAAGCUGUGUUUUACUGUCAAGUGUAUUGCCCGAGUGCACUCGCAAGAUGGCAGCACAGUUUUCCCAAGUCAGAUGUCGCAGGCGUGUCCUCGCUCUGCACGUGAAGGAGCAGGGUUUCAACAAAAUACGUGGAUCUAGCAUAUUAAAGAUCAGCAAAGCCUAUGUCUUCCAAACGCCACUCUGAACAUUACUGGUUUUCACUGGCCUGCUGUGAAAUGAGAAAAAUAAUGACAAUGUGUCUAGGAAACACUGAUCCAGUCCAAACUGACUUCUCGUGAAGAGCCUUUUGGUUUGAUGUAUAAUGUUUGUCAAAAGGGAUUACAUUCUGAGGUGGGAAGAACACUGCUUGACAUGAGAGGAGGAUCCAAAACUGAAUUCCCGGUGUGACAGUCCAGUUGUGUGGAAUCGAGCGUGUCCUUUAUGCUCAGAGCCUCUUCCCUCGGCCUUCUCCCCCGCAGGGCGAGAAGGGUGAGAGGCUUAAUUGCUGGAACUGCAGUGCUGUGUAAGUGCUCCUGUCCCAUCGUGCUGCAUCCUCGGAGCUUUCCCUCACAAAGGCUGCUCAGCAGGUCCUGCAAUAGCUGGUGGGAAACCACGAGGAGGGAUGCUCCAACUUACCAAGUAUUUCCCUGGGAGUUCCUAAUUUCAAUGAGAAGAAUAUUCUCUAAUUAAAAUGCCGCUGCAGAAUCUUUUUUAAAACAAAUUGCCAUCUAAUUUCCCUUUGAUCUUUUUUUUUUCCACUUGGGUUGCAAGGUUUUAAGAAUUUUCCCCAAACACUUUGAGUCUACAGUAAUUUUAUUUCAUUCUAAUUAAACUUCAAAGGACAAAAUGCCAAGCCACCAGAAAAAGCUAAGCUUUUUUCUGCUUCACUGAUGCAAGAAGCAUUUUCGGGACAUCUACUCUGUGCCUGACAUUGUGCUGGGUGUUGGAGAGACAAAGAUGGAUAAAUACGACUCGGUCCUUGCGCUUGCUGGGUCCACUGUUUCCAGGACACCAUCAAGCCAUAAACAGAACAUCAUAAUGCAAUGUGGUGACCACAGAAACACCAUCACACAGCCAUUUUAUAUAGGGCUUUGUGGGAGCAAAAUGGCAGCCCUGGCUGAGCUGACACUUUAAAUGAAAUUUAAAGGAUGACUACAAUUUAGCCAAAUGAGAGCAUGAAGGACACGCCAGUCAGAGGAGACAACAUAAGCUCAGGUCCGGGGGUGGGAAAUGGCAUUGAUGUGGAUCAAGGCUGCCCCAGGGAGAGAAGCCCAAGGCGUCCCAGCCUACAUGCCGAUUUAUAUCAUCCUCCAGGAAACAUAGGAUAUCCUGACCUGAUCCAACCUGACUCAUAUCCAGAGUUAUACGACCACUCGAUAACCAGACCCCACCUGCAUUGAUACCAUGUUAACAACUUUUUUACAUGAUCUUUCCUUUGUCUUGUAAAGAAGUAACUCACAUACCUCUGCUUUAUAAAUUUAGCCCUACCCUCAACCCAUUGCAGCUCUUCACUGCCCAUGGGUCCUGUCCCCAUGCUAUUCUCUGAAUAAAAA